CCUCUGUGUCCCCUCUCAGGUGACUACCUACAGGUUCUUCAAGCCCUGGCUCAGUAUCACAGCCCUUCCCCAUUCCCUGGCUGCAUCUGCUGUGUUUCUGGGCACCUUUGAGGAGUGUCACUACGGUGUGCUCUAGGUCCUGGGAAUCUGUCCCAGCUACUGGACAGGGGAUGGAAGAAGGUAGAGAAGCAUAGUCACUUCUCAGUCUCCUUGGCCAGAGCUCUGCCCUUCCAUUCUGCUCCCAGGCAUUUGGUGAGACAUCCUUGCCCAGCCUCUGGCAAUUGCAAAGGACUUGGAGGGAAUUUUUGGCCUGAUGUAACCGUCCCUUCCAGUGAUACUUGUCUCCUUGGGAUGGGGAGAUGAACUGUUGGUGGACAGCUGGCUGCCUCCACCAUGGAUAGAGUCUCAGGACAGUGCCUCUAUCAAGCAGAGUAACCCCAACUACAAUGGGAAGCCUGAUAACAGGAGACUGGAGGAGCUUCAGAAAGAUGCUCUUGCAAGGUCCCCAUUCACGAAUGACUCACAAGGCAAAGACAGCCUCUUGUGGAGAACUAGAAGGUGUGAGUGAGGUCAGAGGAUCUGGGUCUGGAUCCUGGCUAUACUACAUCCUGAAUGCUUCAUCCUAAGCAGUUUACGCAAACUCCGAGCUUCACGUUCCCCAUCGGCAAGACAGAAUGAUGCUGACAGCUGGGUCACCUUGUCAUUUCGAGUGCUUACCAGACUGGCCACAGGAAAGGAACCAAUAAAUGCCGGAGAGAGUCAUUGCUGUUAUGUUGCUACUCAGGGGAAGACAGGAGCGGCCCAGGUUCUUACUUGGGUGCUUGAGAUCUGUGUGACUUUAGACACUCAGGCGCCCCAGCUUCAGUGGAGUCUCCAUGAAGUGGCAAUAAUAAGAACUGCCUUGCUGGGCUGCUGAGAGGAGUGGAGCACUGCAAGAGGACAUCUGGCCCGCUGGGAACUCAGGACAUGACAGGAAGGGUGUCCACACUGUCACUUUCUAUGAUGCAAUUUUUAUUAUCUUUAUUGUUAUCUCUGGGUCGCGCCUAGUGGGUGCUUUGUAGAUGGACCUCUACAAAGGCUCAGUCUGGGGAAUGGGACUGUCAACAGCAGGUACCUGUGAACCCAGGCUGUGGAAAGACGAGGCCUGUGGCCUGCCUGGCACCCAGGGCCCGGCACAUGUAAGUGUUGUGAGCGUGGACCAAGGGUUACUUGCCUUUCUCAUGCUUGCCUAAGACACAGGCUAGGCCUAUGGUGAAGGGGUGGGGUCAGGAGCAGAGAAUAAUGGCCAGACCGAGCUGGGAAGGCCUGGGAUGCCAGGCAGACUGGCUCUGAGUCGACUUGCUUCUGUUCCUCAAGAUGCUAGCCUGGGGUCUUGGUCGGCGGGCUCCUCCUGCAGACCUUCGGAGACAGAGCAAGGCCAUGGGCGCCCUGUUGGGGCAGGGAUGCAUCUCUGGACUCAGCUGUCUCCUGCUGGGGCUGCAGUGAAAGGGAAGGCCAUUUGCAAUUCAGAUCGGGCAGAUGGGAGGACAUUGCUGGGAGGGGAGUGGGGGGACACGCUUGAGUCAGCUGUCUCAUUUCUCACAUACAUCCUGACCCUAGAGCAGCCCUUCCCAGCCUGGUGCCCGGCCUCUCAGAGCACACCCGCUCCCUGUGCUUUACGUAAGGAGGGAGACACUAUUGCUCUUCCACCUCAGACACAAGUGAGGCCCAGAGAGGCACAUCGACUCACCCUGGGCUACAUGGUGGCCAAGGGCAGAGCUGCAGCACAUGCCAGGCAGCCUGGAUUCAGAGCCCAUAUUCUUUUUUUUUUUUGGUUUUUCGAGACAGGGUUUCUCUGUGUAGCUUUGCGCCUUUCCUGGAACUCGCUUUGGAGACCAGGCUGGCCUCGAACUCACAGAGAUCCACCUGGCUCUGCCUCCCGAGUGCUGGGAUUAAAGGCGUGCGCCACCACCGCCCAGCUAGAGCCCAUAUUCUUAUUCAUGCUGGGCAUCCCUCCAACGCCAGUCCCUCCCCUGUGCCCGGAAGUCCCAAUGGAUGCCGUGUGAAGCCUAUUUGAGCGCCCCCUCCCCUUCUUAUCAUAGGGACAACUCAUCCUCUUCUCCAUCCACGGAGUUGCUCUGGGAUCACCUUGACAGAGAGGUCACCGGGUCCAGGCCUUUUCGAUUUCCUGGGCCUCGUGGGACCUCUGGGCUAUGAGAGGGAACUCAGAUUUACAUUAAAUGGCCAGGCAGGGUUUUGUAGGGACUCACAAGUAGAUGGCUUUGGAUCAUUGGUUUGCAGGGACAAAGAUGAGGAUCUGGGACCAAGCAGCACAGAUUGCCAGGGCUGCUGGCUUGCUCCCGGUGUCUACAAACAGGGGAAGUACCACAUGCGGAGCCCUUCUCCACAGCCUCCCUCUCCCUCCAUCCACCCCACGGCCAGCAAGGCAGCCGAAGGCUCCACCUUACAAAUGGGUCAUUUUUAACGAGGCCCUCCCUGGUCAGUGUGGGCACGAAGGCUAGAAAAGCUUAUUUCCUUCCUCCAGCCUCUCGCCCGCCUCCCUUUCCUGUUCCUUGGAGGGGAAUGGAUGAGCCCGUGGUGGGAACUUGCUCCUUCAACGUCCACUUCUCUGUAGAAUGCGCUGCUCGAUCAUUUAUUUGUCCAUCCGGAUAGGGUGAAUGCUUUGGGUGAUAGAUUAAAAAAAAAAAAAAACCAGAUUGUCAGUGACAAUCCUGGACCAACUCUUCCUCUGUGUUGAAGCUGGGCUUUCGUCUCCCUGGCUCUGUGAUCUUGAAUAAUCUAUCUCCUCUCUACCUCUAUUGUCUCAUCUGUGAAAUGGGUGGCUGAGUCUCUCUUUGGCAGAGUUCGUUUAUGAAUGCAGUCAGCUCCUGCAGGAGCCUCAUACGGUCCAUGUUAAUAACUGAGGGUCCCAACAGCUCCCCCAUAGGUUCUUGGUUCGCUGGUAGGGCAGGCCUCCUCCUUCCGUGACCUCUAACCCUACCUUCUCCUCCCCCAACUCCUUCUCAACGGGAGGCUGUGAGUCGUCCCGCCCCACCCCCCCAACGCGGCCCAGGGGGCCAGAGAAAUUACACCAAAUCAAAGCAGAAAAUGAGUUUUCAUUCAUCUUGGAAUGAUGCGAGAGGUUACGAGCAAGACAAAUAGCAGCCUCCCCCUCUUCCUUUAUCACUGUCACCGCAAUUAAUAGGCUGUGGCCUUCGUUAUCCAGGCCUUGCUAAGGAGAGAGCAGCCCCCGGGCGACGCUAACGAGGAAGUGGAAACAGGCCUGCUCCCACGCUCCCACCAAGAGCCGUCAUGUGGCCAUAUGCUCACCUGGCCCUCCGGACCUGCUGUUGGGGGUGCAGAAAAGCUUCGGAGGGGCCACAGCAGCAUGUGGGGGAGCGACGUGAGGCCUAUGUAAGAGGGGAACACUGGUCCCCUGGCGCCCUGAGAGUGCCCAGGCUGCCCGUGGGUUGAUAAUCACAGCUGCCCAGUCUCUUGGUUAUUUCUGGAGUCCCAGUUAGGAGCAGGCACACAACUUUCUGUGAUCUCGGUCUCUGUUCUCAGAUUCCUUCCGGGAGAAAACUGACUCCUCGGAGAGAAGAGCAGCUGUUCGUCUGAGCUUGAACAGAUCUGGAAAGGGCAGCGUCAGGGUUUGAACACAAGCCUACUCAGACGCAAACCCUGACUCCCUCACUGUCGCAUGCUGUUGCCCAGUGAUGAGGAACAAGGACUAGAGCCAGGCUCCGCUCUCUGGUUCCAGAAUUUGAGUAGGAAAAGAGCCAGAGAGUACAGCUGACUCAACACGACUUCCCCACCAUGACCCCGACCUGGGUACCCCAGCCCCUACACAGGGCCUUCAAGCUAUUGCUAAGCCUCUGCCUGCACUGAGUCCUUGUCAGGACCAAGGAGAAAGCUCUUCUUUUCAAGCGUAAGGAGAUUCCAGAAAGGAGAUUUUUGUUAUGCUUUGUUUUUUUGUUGUUUUUCGAGACAGGGUUUCUCAUGUAGCUCUGGCUGUCCUGGGACUCACUCUGUAGACCAGGCUGGCCUUGAACAGAGAUCUGCCUGCCUCUGCCUCCUGAAUGCUGGGAUUAAAGGCGUGUGCUACCACCGCCCGCCCGACUCAGAAAGGUGAUUUUUAAAAGGAAUCCAUGUGUGGUGAUGCACACCUAUGAUCCCAGUCCUUAAGAGGCUGUGGCAAGAGGAUCACAAAUUUGAGGCCAGCUUGGAUACAUAUGUGUCUGUAUAUAUAUACACACAUACUUAUAACUCUCUAGAUAUGUGAUUUUUUUUUAAAUGAAUUCCUUUAACAGUUACUCAGUGCCUAGGCGGUUCGGCUCAUUAAGUACUUGCUCAAUCAAUGCAUACUGUAUUACUUAUCUAUUACUGUAUGACAGAUUAUCCUAAAAGUUAGUAGCUUAAAACAACAAUAAACAUUUACUGCCCCUCA
Long non-coding RNA from Peromyscus californicus insignis, 4426 nucleotides. RefSeq lists it as uncharacterized. The record is from RefSeq and is a predicted model, not a curated record. The transcript has 2 exons. Lineage: Eukaryota; Metazoa; Chordata; Mammalia; Rodentia; Cricetidae.